This 460-nucleotide ribosomal RNA is filed under the name uncultured bacterium. Its description in RNAcentral is "partial 16S ribosomal RNA". It matches the Rfam family "Bacterial small subunit ribosomal RNA", at positions 338 to 795 of the family's 1533-position model. The record is from RNAcentral.
CCUACGGGGCGCAGCAGUAGGGAAUUUUCGUCAAUGGGCGUAAGCCUGAACCAGCCAAGUCGCGUGAGGGAUGAAGGUUCUAUGGAUCGUAAACCUCUUUUAUAAGGGAAUAAAGUGUGGGACGUGUCCUGUUUUGUAUGUACCUUAUGAAUAAUGAUCGGCUAACUCCGUGCCAGCAGCCGCGGUAAUACGGAGGAUCCGAGCGUUAUCCGGAUUUAUUGGGUUUAAAGGGUGCGUAGGCGGCCUUUUAAGUCAGCGGUGAAAGUCUGUGGCUCAACCAUAGAAUUGCCGUUGAAACUGGGAGGCUUGAGUAUGUUUGAGGCAGGCGGAAUGCGUGGUGUAGCGGUGAAAUGCUUAGAUAUCACGCAGAACCCCGAUUGCGAAGGCAGCCUGCCAAGCCAUGACUGACGCUGAUGCACGAAAGCGUGGGGAUCAAACAGGAUUAGAUACCCCGGUAGUC